UCCCUGAUGGCUCAGUUGGUAAAGAAUCUGCCUGCAAUGCAGGAGAUCCCGGUUCAAUCCCUGGAUUGGGAA
This 72-nucleotide transfer RNA is filed under the name Ovis aries (sheep). It matches the Rfam family "tRNA". Rfam says of the family: Transfer RNA (tRNA) molecules are approximately 80 nucleotides in length. Their secondary structure includes four short double-helical elements and three loops (D, anti-codon, and T loops). The record is from Rfam by way of RNAcentral. Lineage: Eukaryota; Metazoa; Chordata; Mammalia; Artiodactyla; Bovidae.